GAUGAACGCUGGCGGCGUGCCUAAUACAUGCAAGUCGAGCGAACGGAUGAGAAGCUUGCUUCUCUGAUGUUAGCGGCGGACGGGUGAGUAACACGUGGAUAACCUACCUAUAAGACUGGGAUAACUUCGGGAAACCGGAGCUAAUACCGGAUAAUAUUUUGAACCGCAUGGUUCAAAAGUGAAAGACGGUCUUGCUGUCACUUAUAGAUGGAUCCGCGCUGCAUUAGCUAGUUGGUAAGGUAACGGCUUACCAAGGCAACGAUGCAUAGCCGACCUGAGAGGGUGAUCGGCCACACUGGAACUGAGACACGGUCCAGACUCCUACGGGAGGCAGCAGUAGGGAAUCUUCCGCAAUGGGCGAAAGCCUGACGGAGCAACGCCGCGUGAGUGAUGAAGGUCUUCGGAUCGUAAAACUCUGUAAUUAGGGAAGAACAUAUGUGUAAGUAACUGUGCACAUCUUGACGGUACCUAAUCAGAAAGCCACGGCUAACUACGUG
RNAcentral lists this ribosomal RNA (497 nucleotides) under uncultured bacterium. RNAcentral describes it as "partial 16S ribosomal RNA". It matches the Rfam family "Bacterial small subunit ribosomal RNA", at positions 28 to 507 of the family's 1533-position model. The record is from RNAcentral.